AAUAAUUGUAUUUUUACACAGUUCAUAUUGAUCGUCCGUCUUAUUUAAAAAAUAUGUUUGAUAUUUUUAUUGUUAUUAGAUGAUAAAACAUGAGUAAUAAUUUAUGUGUGACUAUUGUCUUAUUUUCUAUUUCAUAAUUUUUUAAAUAAAAUGAACGGUCAAAUGUUGGACAUGAAAAAUCCACGGACACAAUUAUG
This 197-nucleotide microRNA precursor is filed under the name Oryza brachyantha (malo sina). Its description in RNAcentral is "MIR812 microRNA precursor family". It matches the Rfam family "MIR812 microRNA precursor family". The record is from Rfam by way of RNAcentral. Lineage: Eukaryota; Viridiplantae; Streptophyta; Magnoliopsida; Poales; Poaceae.